UAACUGCUGCUCUUAUAUUGAAGCUCCUCUGCAUCUUUAAAGAACUGUAGACUUCUGAUCAAAAAAGAAAAAUCCCUGUAACUGACCAUAAAACAUUUGUUAAUCAAAAACCAAGAUUCAAGGUUCAGAAAUCACAAGAAGAAAUAAACAGACAACGAUUUUUGCCUCAUGGUGAUUUUUCCUUUCGGCACGGUCGUAGCUGGCAAAGCAUUAUCGCCAUUGUUAGCCAUAGAUCGACUCUCAUGUAUCACAUCUGUUGUGUAUAGGUAAUAGACUGUGCACACAGAACAUAAUUUCUGUGGGAUAGAAUUUUAAUUUCAUUUUAUGUUCUUGCAAGAUUGCAUCUUGAUUUUCUACCCUUUACUUUGAAUUGCAAAUUAUCGUUGAAUACGAAUUCUUCUGUUCAGCUGAUUGCUCUAUAAUUAACUCAAGAAUAAAUUCUUUUAAAAAAAAAAUCUCAAGCAUAGAGAGACAAACAAUUUGUACCAUUUACACUAUAUCCUAAUAUAGCAGCCAAGAAAUAGAAGUGAAAGAUGUCAAUAUUUAUCACUUACCCCAAGAGUUGGGUGAAUCUCACAUGCAUCCACACCAUUUGGAUCACCUCAACUCAGCAUGCAAACAUUGAGUUCCUCUUUUACUAUUAAUUACUUGAGGAUCAAAUCUUUAAACAAAAUUUAGAGCAGUCAUUUCAAUUAAAAAAUUUAAGAGGAAAUGAGAUAUUAGUGCAAUAUAUCACAACAUAAAUGUAUCUCUAAGCAGGAUGUGCAAUGGCUAUAUUAUAAUUGGUAAUUUGAAAUUGAUUUUUUAUUACAAAAAAAUUGUUAAUUAUUAUCCUUUGUUGUUUUACCCUUCCCGUUACACUUGGCUUAACUUGUUCAGAUUAGAGACAAUUAAGUAUGAUUCUUAAAAGUAGUUUAAAGCACCAGAAAAUCAUAACUCAAAUUUAUCUUCAUUUUAUUUUUGACAUUCAACACAAGGAUCAUUUUUUUUUCAACACAAGGAUCAUAUAUAUUGGAUGUACUUCUUACAUUUAUCUAUGAAGAAAAAAAUAUAAGCUAAUAUGUGUGUGUGUAUUUCAUACUUCAAAUUCAUAUCAAAAUUGGGUAUUUAAACAGUUAACACCUUAAUUUUAUAGUGGAUUAUCACUUUGAUAAAGUUUGUUAUAUCUCGUCACAUGACUCAAAUUUUUUCAAUAUGACAAAAAUUCUAACCAUAUGCUAGUAUCAUCUUUUUUUCUCAUUCAUAAUCAAAACAAAAGGGAAAAUUGUACAAAUCAUUCCUCACAUAUUAACGAUGUGAAAAUUUAGUCCCUGAGAACGAAAACGAGCAUUUUUAGUCCAUUACAAACAAAAAAUGAUCAAAUUUGGUCCCUGUUAGCUUUUUCGUGUGAAUUCUUGACGGACCCAGUCAUGUGAACAUUAUGUGACCAACUUUUGAGGGAUAAAAGGGGCAUUGCUAGUGCCAAAUUACUCUGGGCUUUGGUUCUGCCGUCAAAGAAGGAAAAGGAAAAUAAAAGCCAGCGAAAGAUGGAAAUUAAGCCAGGCAAACUCAGGUUCUGGCCCCGCCGCUUCUAGGUUGGAUUCAAUAAGUGGGAGCACUAAUUUAGUUAGGUUCACACUUGAUAAAAUUAAGGCUGCCACCAAGAAUUUUUCGAGGAAGAACAUAAUUGGAAGAGGAGGGUAUGGGAAUGUGUACAAGGGUGUAUUGCCUGAUGGCUCUGAAGCGGCAUUGAAGAGGUUCAAGAAUUGUUCUGCUUUCGGGGAUGCCACUUUCAUGCACGAGGUUGAGGUCAUUGCCAGCAUUAGGCAUGUCAAUUUCGUCCAAAUUACUCUUCUAAAGCCAUUGAUAGAUUACAGCAACAAUGACCAUAAAUAGUAUCAUAUUCAUUCUGCGCUCUUUGAGUUUUCUUUUCUCCACAUCAAUCUCCAAAUCUUUCACCUUCUUUGUUAACCUUUAUGUGUGCCUCACCAGUUUAUUGCACCUCUCAUAGCCGCUGGUUUCAUGCCAUUUGAAGUACCCACGGCCGCCUCCGCCAUUAUUAUGCUAGUCAUGGAGAACGGAGCUCAGAUUCUCCAAAAAAGGAAAACAAAAUAUUCUGAAUUAAAAACUUACUUCAUAAUAGGCACAUCCAUAGAAUUUCUUUCCUGGAUUCUUAGCUGUCCACGAAAUCUUCACUGUGGCUGGUAUACCGCAGCUACAGUUUGGUGGUUCUCCCAUGACAAUUUCAAAGAAAUUUAGGGAUUUGAAAUGCUUUGAAGGAAGAAAGAUACUGGUCCUCUACAUUUUGGUCAAGAUCCGAGUGACUUGCCCUUUUUGUCCCUCAAAAGUUGGUCACGUGAUGUUCACAUGACUGGGUCCGU
This 2360-nucleotide long non-coding RNA is filed under the name Coffea arabica (coffee). RNAcentral describes it as "long non-coding RNA (CARA_LNC007583)". The record is from RNAcentral. Lineage: Eukaryota; Viridiplantae; Streptophyta; Magnoliopsida; Gentianales; Rubiaceae.